Molecule: ribosomal RNA, 253 nt
Filed under: uncultured bacterium
Lineage: Bacteria
Description: partial 16S ribosomal RNA
Rfam family: Bacterial small subunit ribosomal RNA
Source: RNAcentral
UACGUAGGGGGCAAGCGUUGUCCGGAUUUAUUGGGCGUAAAGAGCGUGUAGGCGGCCAGAUAGGUCCGUUGUGAAAACUCGAGGCUCAACCUCGAGACGCCGAUGGAAACCAUUUGGCUAGAGUCCGGAAGAGGAGAGUGGAAUUCCUGGUGUAGCGGUGAAAUGCGCAGAUAUCAGGAAGAACACCCGUGGCUAAGGCGGCUCUCUAGUACGGUACUGACGCUGAGGAGCGAAAGCGUGGGGAGCGAACAGG